RNAcentral lists this ribosomal RNA (397 nucleotides) under Stenomitos frigidus. Its description in RNAcentral is "bacterial SSU rRNA". It matches the Rfam family "Bacterial small subunit ribosomal RNA", at positions 400 to 824 of the family's 1533-position model. The record is from RNAcentral. Lineage: Bacteria; Bacillati; Cyanobacteriota; Cyanophyceae; Leptolyngbyales; Leptolyngbyaceae.
CGUGAGGGAGGAGGCUCUUGGGUUGUAAACCUCUUUUAUCAGGGAAGAAGAUCUGACGGUACCUGAUGAAUCAGCAUCGGCUAACUCCGUGCCAGCAGCCGCGGUAAUACGGAGGAUGCAAGCGUUAUCCGGAUUUAUUGGGCGUAAAGCGUCCGCAGGUGGUUUUUCAAGUCUGCUGUUAAAGCGCAGAGCUUAACUCUGUAACGGCGGUGGAAACUGAGAGACUAGAGUAUGGUAGGGGUAGCGGGAAUUCCCAGUGUAGCGGUGAAAUGCGUAGAUAUUGGGAAGAACACCAGCGGCGAAAGCGCGCUACUGGGCCAUAACUGACACUCAUGGACGAAAGCUAGGGGAGCGAAAGGGAUUAGAUACCCCCUGUAAACGAUGGGUACUAGGUGUU